This 829-nucleotide ribosomal RNA is filed under the name Deltaproteobacteria bacterium. RNAcentral describes it as "partial 23S ribosomal RNA". It matches the Rfam family "Bacterial large subunit ribosomal RNA", at positions 1 to 767 of the family's 2925-position model. The record is from RNAcentral. Lineage: Bacteria; Pseudomonadati; Myxococcota; Myxococcia.
AUUAAGCGAGAAAGGGCAUGCGGUGGAUGCCUUGGCACAGGCGAGCGAUGAAGGGCGUGGCAAGCUGCGAUAAGCCUCGGGGAGCCGCAAGCAGGCUUUGAUCCGGGGAUGCCCGAAUGGGGAAACCUGACGGAGGUGAACUCCGUCAUCCCGUAACGGGAAGCGAACCUGGGGAACUGAAACAUCUCAGUACCUAGAGGAAAAGAAAGAAACCUCGAUUCCCUAAGUAGCGGCGAGCGAAAGGGGAAGAGCCCAAACCGUGGGGGUGUGAUAGGCCGAAGCCGUUGCCUCCAUGGGGUUGUAGGGCGGCGCCGUCCGAGCGCUUCGGAUCUUGGCGCUCCGUGUUCUGAUCUAGCCGAAUUGAGCUGGAAAGCUCAGCCGGAGGAGGUGAAAGCCCUGUAGGCGAAAGAUCGGACGCGGGGUGAGGCGCAGUUCCUGAGUAGGCCGGGGCACGUGGAACCCCGGUUGAAGCUGGGAGGACCUUCUCCCAAGGCUAAAUACCAGCCUGUGACCGAUAGCGAACGAGUACCGUGAGGGAAAGGUGAAAAGUACCCCUGACGGGGGGUGAAAUAGAACCUGAAACCGUGUGCCUACAAGCGGUGGGAGGGGCGAAGCCAUGAGCCUUCGGGCUCGUGGGCCCUGACCGCGUGCCUUUNNNNNNNNNNNNNNNNNNAUGAUCCGGGGAGUUGUCCUGCUGGGCGAGGUUAAGGGCCGUCAGGUCUGGAGCCGAAGCGAAAGCGAGUCUGAAACGGGCGUCAGAGUCCAGGGGGGCAGACCCGAAGCCGAGUGAUCUACCCAUGGCCAGGGUGAAGCGGGGGUAACACCUCGU